UACGUAGGGGGCAAGCGUUAUCCGGAUUUACUGGGUGUAAAGGGAGCGUAGACGGCAGAGCAAGUCUGAAGUGAAAGCCCGCGGCCCAACUGCGGGACUGCUUUGGAAGCUGCCCGGCUAGAGUGCUGGAGAGGUAAGCGGAAUUCCUAGUGUAGCGGUGAAAUGCGUAGAUAUUAGGAGGAACACCAGUGGCGAAGGCGGCUUACUGGACAGUAACUGACGUUGAGGCUCGAAAGCGUGGGGAGCAAACAGG
Molecule: ribosomal RNA, 253 nt
Filed under: uncultured bacterium
Lineage: Bacteria
Description: partial 16S ribosomal RNA
Rfam family: Bacterial small subunit ribosomal RNA
Source: RNAcentral